Molecule: long non-coding RNA, 2230 nt
Filed under: Homo sapiens (human)
Lineage: Eukaryota; Metazoa; Chordata; Mammalia; Primates; Hominidae
Description: HSALNT0304463
Source: RNAcentral
AGUACCAGCAGUGCCCCAGUCCCCAUAGUCUCCUGUUUCAGUCGUUAAAAGGCGAUUUUGACUCUCCCUUUGUAGAAAUCAUACAGCUUCUGUAUCUGAUCAGAAGGUCAACAACACAAUCAUCUGAUGUUAGGCUAGAGGUAAGAACAGCCGGCUCUGGGGUUCCCGGAGGAAGGAAUUGCCAAUCUCGCCUGAAAGAACUGGUGUGAAGCCACUGGCGGAGUAUCCAGGGGCCGAGGGCUGAUGCAUUUCUCCUCAUCCACCUCACUCUGACCCCGGAUGCCAGUUAACCCAGGAGAGGUCCCUGAACACAACCCCGAUGCAAGCAAAGGUGGUGGACAAUACGGAGGAGGAUGAAGAGGCAUGGUCCACCACAACAGGUUGCCCAGAGAGGCUGUAGAGAGUUUAAAAGGAAGGAGUGAGAGGGAUCACCAGACCAUGAAGCAUCCCCUGUGGGAGGAAGGAGGAGCUCAAGGUCAGGAGAGCACUGUUCCCUGGGAGGCAUGGAAAUUAAGGCUCAAGAAGGUGACUUGCCCAAGACUUCAUAGCCCACAACUGCUGGAGGUGGGAUUUGAACUCGUCUGCGAGGUUCGAAAUCACCCCAGCCCAGUGCCUGCUCCUGACAGAGACUCAGCAAGUGCAGCUCUGCGUGUUUCCUCCAUCACAGAGGCCUGCUUAGGGGAAAAAUCUUGCUGAAGAAAAGUGGCCGAUGGUUUCGAGAGAAGAGACGCUUAUUCAUGUAAUUCUCAAGAAUCCCAUCUCCGGCUUAGAAGGACACCUUUUCUGAUUUCCCAUUCAAAGGGACUGACGUACACUCAGGGGCUGAGGCAGCAGCUGUUUUUGCUGUGCACAGACUGGAGAGCGAUGUGUGAGUGAAGUCUGUGGCCACUUCUCUCCUCCCCCGAGCCUUCUGGGGUUUGGGUUUAUGACUCCAGAGGCGGAGAAGCGUGUUCCCUUUCUGUGCGGAUCCCGUCAUUGACAGAGUCUGUUUUAGAAGAGCAUUUUUAGAUGGCAGCGAACGUUCCAGACCCCAAAGCAUUCUCUUUACAGCACCGUCUAGCUUGGGUGGGGAUAGGGUGGGUUUGUGAACACGUGUGUGCGUGAGAGUGUGAGUGUGUGCAAGUGUGUGCACGUGUGUGUCAGUCCCUCUGUCUGGCUCCCACUGCUAGCCACCUCUGUCAUAUCCUGACUAUUUCGCCGGGGCAUCGUCCAGCCAUAGGAAUCUUCAGCAAACCUACAGUUCAGACGAACGCCCUCGUUUCUGCCCUGAGAAGAAAGUCCGUUGAGUCUGAGGGCUCCCGAGUCAUUCUCUCAAGGCAUUCAUUCAGUUUUGUUUCCCCUGGUGCUACCCUCUCUGAAGUCGUUAUUACUCAUUAGGUGUAUUGCACAUACAGAAAAAGUAGGUCAAGGAUUAAAAAAAAAAAGAAAAAACAUCUCUGGGAGAAGCACAAGUAUUGUGUAAAGCUAUUUUGAACUUGCGUGAGAUUUUUCAAGGGGGAAAUGUUUUGUGCAGAGACGGCUGCUGCCACAGCUGACUUACCAAUGAAUGCCCGUGUCUGAGCCUUUCAUACGCUAACCACGUGACCUUGGAAUUCCAUUUUGAAAUGAUAAUUGUGCCCAGUGGGGUGAGCAGCCUCUCAAUCCAGGUUCUAUACAAUAUAGGUCACCUCGAGGAUCCUCAGUAGAACAGGAACAAGAGAAUCCUGAGAAAUCUCUGUAAAGAAACAGAAAGAAUGAGAGAGAAAACUGUGUGUCUAACCACCGGGCCCCUGGGCCCUAUGUGCCACCCAGGUUUGGAGCAAGGCUGCGGGGCAGAUGAUGUCCAGGAGAGCCUCAGAAAGUCCGGGCUCUAGAAAAAAAUACGUUCCAGCUCACUCUGCUCUGACCCUGCAUCUGCUCUGUGCUGAAAGCUUUGUUGCUGCCAUGAAUAUAUUUAAGGGGAAUAAAAUGUGCAGUGUCAAAGCGACUGGCUUGAAGUGGGCUGGAUGCAUCCUAGGCUCCGCGAGGGAAAAGGCCUCUAGCUGGCAGUUGACAGAAGGGGGAAGGCAGUGAGGAGUGGGCCCACCCACGGGAGUCUGGGCAUGAGGCGGGUCCUGGUUCCCAGGCUGCCCCGUGGGAAUAUGCUCCAUGGGCUGGGGCUGCUGUGCUGGCUGCUCUUGCCCCCAGGGGGUCACUACGCUGGGCUUCUCCAUCAGGGCUAUCACGAUAUUGCCCAGGGUUUACAGGUUUA